This is a long non-coding RNA of Alosa sapidissima (American shad), 574 nucleotides long. RefSeq lists it as uncharacterized. The transcript is spliced from 7 exons. Lineage: Eukaryota; Metazoa; Chordata; Actinopteri; Clupeiformes; Clupeidae. The record is from RefSeq and is a predicted model, not a curated record.
UACAGUUAAAACUCCGCUACAGCAACAACUCCGGUGCCGUCACCUCGGCUCAUUAUCUUUUCAAAAUGUUUGCCUAUGUAAGGUUUUUAGAAGACAACUAUAGGACAAUUGUCCCAACGACCUCCAUCAAAGAUUUUGUGUUCAACAAAGUCAACCCCAAAAGUACGUGGUGGGUGCUGUGGACCGAUGGGGCGUACUACCAAGCCCAGAUACUGCUAAUGUCUGGUCAGGGACACCACCUCUACUUUUAAAAAAAGAGCUUCCCCCCUGCAGAAGCACAGCCACACACAUCUACGACUGUGGUCAGGGACACCACAUCUCCAUUUUAAAAAAGGUGCUUCCCCCCUGCAGAAGCACAGCCACACACAUCUACGACUGUGGUCAGGGACACCACAUCUCCAUUUAAAAAAAGGUGCUUCCCCCCUGCAGAAGCACAGCCACACACAUCUACGACUGUGGAUUUUUUGGUCACCUCGGAGGAUGAGGAUGUUUUGGUCACCCUGGAGGAUGAGUUUUCAGAUAGAUACGAGGAGGCUCUUAAGGCCAAUAAAGCCUUAAAACUGGAAAAUGCACG